CAUUUGACUGAAUUCUUGCAGCACGGCAUCUUGGACAGAAGAAAUUCCAGCUCCCCUUUAGUCUGUAACCCACAUAGCAGAGCAAAAAAGAUUCUUAAUUUUGAUAAUUGAAUUCAGAUAUGUUGGUAUAUGGUAAGUAAAUGAAGGAGAAAUGUGGGUUGUUUUUUCUUUCUUUUUCUUUUUGCUUACUUGGGGUUGGGGUGGGGUGGGGUGGAAAGGCGGAGAUGAGGUACCACCGGCGGCGAGGAUAUGUUGGUAUUUGGUAGGUAUUUGAACGAGAAAUGUGGGUUCUCUCUUUCUUUUUCUUUUCUUUUUUGCUUACUUGGGGUUGGGGUGGGGGUGGAAGGGCGGAGAUGGGGUAGUGUACCACCGGCGGCGAUAUAGUGCCGUACCGGUUGGUGUAAGAAGGAGAAGGGUAGUUAUAUAUAUAUAUAUAUGGUGGAAAAAAAAUAAUAGUAGUAGAGAUUGGUUGGAGGCUUGGAAUCUUUGCUGACACCGGUAAGUUAAAGUGAAGUGUGUAUUAUAAAGGUGGCUGAGUGUAUUAUGGAAUGAUGAUCUGUGAUUUCUCUUGUAUUUUAGUUUAACACAUUUAUGUCUUUCCUUCCUGUGGAGUUUGGGACUCUACCAGUCUACACUAUUAAAAAUAUUCUCUAGGCAUUUGGACAAUAAUUGAAUUCUAGUUGAAAACAUGUAUUUGAUAAAUAAAUUUGUAUAAAUUAAAGAUUUGUGAAUUAAAGACAAUAUUUUUAAUAUUUCCCUAUGUUGAAAUUACAACCACAACACAAUAAUAUACCAGUAUAUUUCUAUACUUGAGGUUUGGGCGAGAGUAGUGCGUACACAAAUCUUAUCCAUACCUACUGAAGGUAGAUAGGUUGUUUCCAAUAGACUCUCGACUCUCACGUCUUGUCCUCCACGGAAGUCACUCCCACUUUGUCCAGAAUAACUUCAUUCUU
RNAcentral lists this long non-coding RNA (953 nucleotides) under Nicotiana benthamiana. RNAcentral describes it as "long non-coding RNA (NBEN_LNC005645)". Lineage: Eukaryota; Viridiplantae; Streptophyta; Magnoliopsida; Solanales; Solanaceae. The record is from RNAcentral.